Molecule: ribosomal RNA, 484 nt
Filed under: uncultured bacterium
Lineage: Bacteria
Description: partial 16S ribosomal RNA
Rfam family: Bacterial small subunit ribosomal RNA
Source: RNAcentral
AUUGAACGCUGGCGGCAUGCCUAACACAUGCAAGUCGAGCGGAUGAAGGGAGCUUGCUCCUGGAUUCAGCUGCGGACGGGUGAGUAAUGCCUAGGAAUCUGCCUUGUAGUUGGGGAUAACGUCCGGAAACGGGCGCUAAUACCGCAUACGUCCUGAGUGAGAAAGUGGGGGAUCUUCGGACCUCACGCUAUCUGAUGAGCCUAGGUCGGAUUAGCUAGUUGGUGGGGUAAAGGCCUACCAAGGCGACGAUCCGUAACUGGGCUGAGAGGAUGAUCAGUCACACUGGAACUGAGACACGGUCCAGACUCCUACGGGAGGCAGCAGUGGGGAAUAUUGGACAAUGGGCGAAAGCCUGAUCCAGCCAUGCCGCGUGUGUGAAGAAGGUCUUCGGAUUGUAAAGCACUUUAAGUUGGGAGGAAGAGAAGUAAGUUAAUACCUUGCUGUUUUGACGUUACCAAAAGAAUAAGCAACGGCUAACUUCGUG